This 1495-nucleotide long non-coding RNA is filed under the name Monodelphis domestica (gray short-tailed opossum). RNAcentral's name for it is "lncRNA (ENSMODG00000037731.1)". Lineage: Eukaryota; Metazoa; Chordata; Mammalia; Didelphimorphia; Didelphidae. The record is from RNAcentral.
CAUCCUUUCUCUUUUUGUAGAGUCCUUGGGGUACAGCAUUACUGGUGAGCUGCUUCUUGGGGACCAUUCUUCUCCAGUCUGACUCUGCUCUGCUGCCAGUGAUCAUGUUGCUUGAAGCGGUUACCAUCCUUGAUGUCUUUCUCUCUGUAUUCAUAUCUGUCUGAAGUAGCUAUCUUUGCUCCCUUCUGGAUGCAGUGUCUGAAAAUGGUCCAGCAGCUUCCCUUUCCAAAUUACAUGGCCAAGAGGCAGGGGAAAAGAGGAGGAUUUCCUUUUCUUCCUCUCACAGAGGUCUCAAGACCUCCUCAGGAAAAACCCAACCCUCAAACUUCAAGAAGUCAGCAUGGAUCAGUGGAAGGAACACUGCUUCUAGAGUUGGAGGACCUAGGGUUAGACCCUGUUUCUCUACUUUCUGUUGGGUUAGAUCCUGUUUCUUCACUUUCUGUCAGGUUAGACCCUGUUUCUCCACUUUCUGUUGGUGUAACCUUGGGCAAGUGAUUUAACUUUUCUGGUUAAGUUCCUCCCUCCUCAUCUGUCAAAUGAAGGACUUGGACUGGAUGGUCUCUGAAGUGAUGCAAUGGAUAGAGUGCCAGUACUAGAGUCAGGAAGACCCAAGUUCAAAUAUAACUUUAUAUAUUUACUAAUUGACCUCACUUGCACAAUGGAGGUAAUAAUAGCAUCUCCUUCCAGGAUUAUUAUGAGGAACGAAUGAAAUAAUAAUUGUGAAGCACUUAGCCUGACACAAGGAGAGACCAAACCAAAUGGACAACUUGGUUCUGCUUAAUUAAUAUCAAACAAGGUAUCACACAUGGACAAUACACAAGCUAAAGGUGUUCGCCACUGAUAUAAAGUAGUUCAUCUCUGAAAUGUCUGCCUGUUCCUGUUCUGGAAAGAUAUUAUAAAGUCCCAGAACAUGACAGAACUCCUUCAAAGAGAUUCACUCAAAAGAGUUCAACACAGGAAAAAACAAAUGGAAGACAAAUGUUUAUUGCCUACACUAUAAAAUGCAGUUAGAUUGAUAGUCCAUUGAAUGAUGCUAUCAAUACAUUUAUCCUGGGCAGUCACUAAUAGUGGAAAAUGGACUCAGAAUUGAAUAGAAGGAAGAAAAGUCACUGGAUUGCAUAUCAGAAAUAACAGUAAUUUUAACCUAAUAUAUGCAAAAAAAUCUUUUCAAUAGCACAUUUUCCUGGUGAUGCUAUAUGGCUAUGAAUCAUGGAGAAUCAUUUGAAGAAUUAAGCUGCAAGUGAUCUAAAGGGUCAGAGAAGAACAGUGGUUUUCAGCAGGUUUCUGCACAUUACCAAUAUUGUCUUGCUUGGAAAAAGUGCCUAAAAGAUAUCACGUAGAAAAUGUAUGGUUAGAAAAGAGAUGGAUUGGUCAUUUAGCAAGAGAACAGUAACAGACCAAGUACCACUUUGAUACUCACAGAAUAUCAAAAUGCCAAAAGUAAGACCUUCAGAAAUUGGGUAAAUCUUCCACAGAGGAUUUAUGAGAGGAUGUA